UCGAGCGGCAGCGGAAGUAGCUUGCUACUUUGCCGGCGAGCGGCGGACGGGUGAGAAAUGUCUGGGAAACUGCCUGAUGGAGGGGGAUAACUACUGGAAACGGUAGCUAAUACCGCAUAACGUCGCAAGACCAAAGAGGGGGACCUUCGGGCCUCUUGCCAUCAGAUGUGCCCAGAUGGGAUUAGCUAGUAGGUGGGGUAACGGCUCACCUAGGCGACGAUCCCUAGCUGGUCUGAGAGGAUGACCAGCCACACUGGAACUGAGACACGGUCCAGACUCCUACGGGAGGCAGCAGUGGGGAAUAUUGCACAAUGGGCGCAAGCCUGAUGCAGCCAUGCCGCGUGUAUGAAGAAGGCCUUCGGGUUGUAAAGUACUUUCAGCGGGGAGGAAGGCGCUGAGGUUAAUAACCUCAGCGAUUGACGUUACCCGCAGAAGAAGCACCGGCUAACUCCGUGCCAGCAGCCGCGGUAAUACGGAGGGGUGCAAGCGUUUAAUCGGAAUUACUGGGCGUAAAGCGCACGCAGGCGGGUCUGUCAAGUCGGAUGUGAAAA
This 551-nucleotide ribosomal RNA is filed under the name Citrobacter murliniae. Its description in RNAcentral is "bacterial SSU rRNA". It matches the Rfam family "Bacterial small subunit ribosomal RNA", at positions 62 to 600 of the family's 1533-position model. The record is from RNAcentral. Lineage: Bacteria; Pseudomonadati; Pseudomonadota; Gammaproteobacteria; Enterobacterales; Enterobacteriaceae.